UACGGGGGGGGCAAGCGUUGUUCGGAAUUACUGGGCGUAAAGGGCUCGUAGGCGGCCAACUAAGUCAGACGUGAAAUCCCUCGGCUUAACCGGGGAACUGCGUCUGAUACUGGAUGGCUUGAGUUUGGGAGAGGGAUGCGGAAUUCCAGGUGUAGCGGUGAAAUGCGUAGAUAUCUGGAGGAACACCGGUGGCGAAGGCGGCAUCCUGGACCGACACUGACGCUGAGGAGCGAAAGCCGGGGGAGCAAACGGG
Molecule: ribosomal RNA, 253 nt
Filed under: uncultured bacterium
Lineage: Bacteria
Description: partial 16S ribosomal RNA
Rfam family: Bacterial small subunit ribosomal RNA
Source: RNAcentral